UCGUAGUUGGAUACGAAUAGGCCUCCGGGCCACGAACCUCAGCAGGCUGGCGACGGCUCCCCGGGAGAAGCCCCGGGGAGCUGGCUGGCGGAUUGCAAUGUCACCUCGCGCGGGGAUGAAUCCUCUGCAUACGACUGAAGUGACCAAGCGGGUCGUGUAAGCGGUCAAGUAGCCUUGUUGCUACGAGUCGCUGAGCGUCAGCCCGACCUUGGCUAGAUUU
Molecule: ribosomal RNA, 220 nt
Filed under: Aspergillus oryzae
Lineage: Eukaryota; Fungi; Ascomycota; Eurotiomycetes; Eurotiales; Aspergillaceae
Description: partial 28S large subunit ribosomal RNA
Rfam family: Eukaryotic large subunit ribosomal RNA (bases 115-220)
Source: RNAcentral